AGUUAAAAAUCUUAGAUUUUAUUAAAAGAUGAGAAGAACAUAUAGUAUUUUAUUAUUAGGAUAUAAUUUAGGUUUUUUUUACUUCAUUCCUUUAUUUAUAAAUUUAUUCAUUUUGUAGGAGAGACAGUAAAUUUUAAAUAAUUUUCAAUAUUAAUUUUUCAUUUAUUUAUGUUCUUUUUGACCUUGUUUUAUGGAUUACGAGAUUAAAUUGCUUUAGGGAUAAUAGCUUAAUUUUUUCAUUAGAGUUCUUAUCGAUGGAAGAGUUUGCGACCUCGAUGUUGGAUUAAAGCAAGCUUAAGGUGCAGUAUCUUUUAUGCCUCCAGUCUGUUUGGUUAUUAAAUCUUUACAUGAUACAUGAUCCAAACGCUUCCAGCCUGAAUUGCACCAAUCG
This 391-nucleotide ribosomal RNA is filed under the name Melucha chapadana. RNAcentral describes it as "partial large subunit ribosomal RNA". Lineage: Eukaryota; Metazoa; Arthropoda; Insecta; Hemiptera; Coreidae. The record is from RNAcentral.